This 81-nucleotide small nuclear RNA is filed under the name Homo sapiens (human). Its description in RNAcentral is "partial ncRNA". Lineage: Eukaryota; Metazoa; Chordata; Mammalia; Primates; Hominidae. The record is from RNAcentral.
AGACAGAAUUGCUUGAACCUGGGAGAGAGAGGUUGCAGUGAACCGAGAUUGCACCACUGCACUCCAGACUGGGCGACAGAG